RNAcentral lists this ribosomal RNA (253 nucleotides) under uncultured bacterium. Its description in RNAcentral is "partial 16S ribosomal RNA". It matches the Rfam family "Bacterial small subunit ribosomal RNA", at positions 524 to 776 of the family's 1533-position model. The record is from RNAcentral.
UACGUAGGGGGCAAGCGUUGUCCGGAAUUAUUGGGCGUAAAGAGCGCGUAGGCGGUCCGGUAAGUCGGUUGUGAAAGUCGGGGGCUCAACCCUCGGAUGCCGAUCGAUACUGCCGGGCUAGAGUCCGGAAGAGGCGAGUGGAAUUCCUGGUGUAGCGGUGAAAUGCGCAGAUAUCAGGAGGAACACCGGUGGCGAAGGCGGCAUCCUGGACCGAGAUUGACGCUGAGGCGCGAAAGCCAGGGGAGCAAACGGG